This is a non-coding RNA of Punica granatum (pomegranate), 2327 nucleotides long. The record is from RefSeq and is a predicted model, not a curated record. NCBI's taxonomy places the organism in Eukaryota, Viridiplantae, Streptophyta, Magnoliopsida, Myrtales, Lythraceae.
UGCGUUCUCCGUUGCCCUGCUUCCCUCCUAUUAAUUUCUUUCCUUUCCUAUUAUUCUCUUCUGCUUUUUCUCUGCCCAACCCGAACCAUCUUCUGCUUCCUUUCCUUUUUUCCAUUGCAGCUCCUCCUCUGCAGGCCCGCGUGGUCAACUCUUGCCCUGACCGCUUCUCUUUACGACUUUUGCUGGCUACAACUCUUCCCCUCCUCUUCCCUUUCUGAUGAAACCUACAACUCUCUUUCCCCCUCCGUCCAAACAGAGAUAGCAGACAGACAAAUUAGAAGAAAAAUGGAAAACAAAACAGAACAGAGAGGAGGAGGACAGUAGAAGGACAGGCAAAGCUGAACAGAAAAACUGGACAAAACAAACGGAGGGGAGGAGGACUUCCUCACAGCUCAACCCGACUCCCUCAGCUCAACCCGAUCCUCUCAGCUCACGAAUUUCUCCCUCAGCUCACGAACUUCUUCCUCAGCUCACGAUCCUCUCAGCUCAGAGUAGACCAGCUCACACCCCACAACUCACUCACUCACUCCCUCACUCCCUCACUCUCCUUCUCUGAACAGACCAACUCUCAUUCAACAUCUCCCCCUCAUUUCGACUCCGGACAGACGAGGGGCCAAGCCUACACGACACAUCCCUCUCUUUCUCUCUCUAUCUCGGUUGAACACACGGGAACCGACUUCCCCUCUCUCGGACUUAACCUCUAACUAACUCUCUUCUUCAGUCACCCUAUCCCAGAAUGAAGACCAGCUUAUUCUCUCUCUUUUCCGUUUUGGCUGAAGCCUGCAACUCCUCCGUUGAUGCAGUCCCAAGCAUGCAAAACAUCAUCAACUUCCAUCCAUCCUCUUGCUCUUUCUCUUUUCUAACCGGCAGCACUCCCGUGCUCGGUUAUGGCUUUUCCCUUGGUCGGAACUCACUCCCACAAACCAACACCAGCUUAUCCUUUGCCCUCACCUAUAUCAACCUUCUCUGAACCAGUUCUGACUUUCAACGACGAGUCUCCUCGAGCUCUUCCUCAGCUUCAAGAAACUGCUGUGCUGUCCCUCAUUCGACUUCCUUGGAGUUGCUGCUGUAAACUUCGUCACUGCAUCCCCCACGACCGUCCCGAGUCAAAGUUGCUGUAGUUCGGGAUUCCCCCGAGCUCCCUACAGCUCCAUCGUGCUCAUAGCAUGGCAGCUCCUCCUUCCACAGCUAAGCCACAAGCUCAAGAGAACGCAUGGUGAGCCGUCUUUACUCCGAAAUCAUGCUUGACCGCUGAGUUGAGUUGGUAGAUGACUUUUGGUUCGAUUGGAUGAGUUUUGUUUGUUUAAAAACAAUGCUUAAGAACUAGGCUAAGCUAUAGAACGAAUCUUGGUUCGGGUAAGGUGGUUCAAGUUUGAUUUCGAUAUUUGAAGAUUGAGCUUGAGAUAAACGCUGAAUCAUAUCGCAGUUGUUUGACUGAUACGAGCAUGGUCAGUAAGAUAUCGGUAACUUGAAUCCGAGUUUAAGAUAGUGGCUGAGAUGCUUGACAGUUCAUGUGGGAUUUGGGAUAGUUUUGGGCGUGAUCUUAAAGGGUUUAUGCUAUGUGUAAGUGUAAAUGAGUGGUUUAACUAGUGGCCUUGGCUAUUUGUUGUGAUCAUCUACAUAUGAUAAUAUGGCAGUUUUUAUAGCCAAGGGUUUUAGGGCCUUCCUCUCUUACGAUCCUUGGCUUUACUGUCUCUCCAAAGUCGAUAUGGAAAAUUCUAGCAUGCUGAUCAGCCUUGGUAAGGGCCUUAGAGGCUUGUUUUUGGUCGCUUCGAGUCACUAGAUGAGCCGUCAUUACGCCUGGAUGUCUGAAUAUCGAUUUUCUUAACAUCUCACGCCAUUCGUGGUGUUAUGGAGUCAAGUUGUUUGGACUUUAAAGUCAUGAUUAGGUUUGAAUCGUAGUCUUGGAACUCAAUUCGUUAGUCUUAUUCUCGAUCCCGUUCAUGGCUAGAAUAUUUGCCUUUACCCCGAUUCUCUCGUGUUUGAUCUUUGUUUUGCAUGUUACCUCGAGCCUUGGAGUAAAGAGAAGAAAGCUGGAAUAGGUCGAUGCACGUGGGGCUCGAAGACGACGUGGACACUUACCUAGGCUUAGGUUGAGACCCGACUUGAAGGUCGCGUCGGUCCGCGGUAGUCAAGGAUCUUCCGAACUAGCUCAUCCAGAGAACUUCUUGGGAUUAUGGAUAACUCUCUACCUUACUAUCAUGAGAUAGGGCUUUCAAUGCUUGAUGAGUGGAUUCAAUGAGUUUAAUGUGAUUGUACGCCCAUGAUUCGUUUGCUUUGAAGUGAUCAUCCCUUUUAAUUAAAGACCUCACACGAAUUUGGAUUAA